UUAAAUGGUGCUAUAGAUUAUAUUAUUGUUGUUGCUGCAGUUGGUUGGUACUUGGUAUAUGGCCUUCAAUUUUUUGUUUGUUCUAGGAAAUUUAUCUUAUAAUUUUUCAGCCUUGUGGUUCUAGGAUCACUCUUUCAUUGCUGGGCUGAAACUAUAUGGAUAAAACUGUGGAUUGGGAACUAUAGAUACCCUCUUUUUUUGUGCAAAAAGUCCUAUUCACCAGCGUGAGAUGUAGACUGAGCAUUCAUCAUUUGCUGCACUAGAUAGGACGUAGGAACUGAUAUUGAAGGUGCUAAUGGGAAUGGGUGGUUGUGGUUGUAAGCAGCUACAUAUUUGUUGUAGGUGGGGUGGUAAAGAGGUAUUCUUGCCUUGUAAGGGUAUUCUCACAAUGGCUGACCCUUUGAGCUAUAUCUACGCUAUUGAGAUUGGAAUUGUUAAGGGAUGUUUGAUUGACUGAUGCAAGGUGAAAGGGACCUUCAACAAUAAAUUAUUUUCUUAUGCACAUUUUUG
Molecule: unclassified non-coding RNA, 510 nt
Filed under: Hevea brasiliensis (rubber tree)
Lineage: Eukaryota; Viridiplantae; Streptophyta; Magnoliopsida; Malpighiales; Euphorbiaceae
Source: RNAcentral